UUGGAGACCUCAAAUCAGGUAGGACUACCCGCUGAACUUAAGCAUAUCAAUAAGCGGAGGAAAAGAAACUAACAAGGAUUCCCCUAGUAACUGCGAGUGAAGCGGGAAAAGCUCAAAUUUGAAAUCUGGCAGUUCUURACUGUCCGAGUUGUAAUCUAGAGAAGUGUUACCUGUGCUGGACCGUGUACAAGUCUCCUGGAAUGGAGCAUCAUAGAGGGUGAGAAUCCCGUCUUUGACACGGACUACCUGUGCGUUAUGGUGCGCUCUCAAAGAGUCGAGUUGUUUGGGAAUGCAGCUCAAAAUGGGUGGUAAAUGCCAUCUAAAGCUAAAUAUUGGCGAGAGACCGAUAGCGAACAAGUACCGUGAGGGAAAGAUGAAAAGAACUUUGGAAAGAGAGUUAAACAGUACGUGAAAUUGCUGAAAGGGAAACGCUUGAAGUCAGUCGCGUUGGCUAGAAAUCAGCCUUGCUCUUGCACGGUGUACUUUCUGGUCGACGGGUCAGCAUCAAUUUUGACCAUUGGAUAAAGUCUUUGGGAAUGUGGCAUCUCAGGAUGUGUUAUAGCCCAUUGUCGCAUACGGUGGUUGGGAUUGAGGAACUCAGCACGCCGCAAGGCCAGGUUUCGACCAUGUUCGUGCUUAGGAUGCUGGCAUAAUGGCUUUAAUCGACCCGUC
This 672-nucleotide ribosomal RNA is filed under the name Inocybe hotsoniana. RNAcentral describes it as "eukaryotic LSU rRNA". It matches the Rfam family "Eukaryotic large subunit ribosomal RNA", at positions 1 to 653 of the family's 3401-position model. RNAcentral also lists the same sequence under 2 other names. Lineage: Eukaryota; Fungi; Basidiomycota; Agaricomycetes; Agaricales; Inocybaceae. The record is from RNAcentral.